ACAUGCAAGUCGAGCGAACGGACGAGAAGCUUGCUUCUCUGAUGUUAGCGGCGGACGGGUGAGUAACACGUGGAUAACCUACCUAUAAGACUGGGAUAACUUCGGGAAACCGGAGCUAAUACCGGAUAAUAUUUUGAACCGCAUGGUUCAAAAGUGAAAGACGGUCUUGCUGUCACUUAUAGAUGGAUCCGCGCUGCAUUAGCUAGUUGGUAAGGUAACGGCUUACCAAGGCAACGAUGCAUAGCCGACCUGAGAGGGUGAUCGGCCACACUGGAACUGAGACACGGUCCAGACUCCUACGGGAGGCAGCAGUAGGGAAUCUUCCGCAAUGGGCGAAAGCCUGACGGAGCAACGCCGCGUGAGUGAUGAAGGUCUUCGGAUCGUAAAACUCUGUUAUUAGGGAAGAACAUAUGUGUAAGUAACUGUGCACAUCUUGACGGUACCUAAUCAGAAAGCCACGGCUAACUACGUGCCAGCAGCCGCGGUAAUACGUAGGUGGCAAGCGUUAUCCGGAAUUAUUGGGCGUAAAGCGCGCGUAGGCGGUUUUUUAAGUCUGAUGUGAAAGCCCACGGCUCAACCGUGGAGGGUCAUUGGAAACUGGAAAACUUGAGUGCAGAAGAGGAAAGUGGAAUUCCAUGUGUAGCGGUGAAAUGCGCAGAGAUAUGGAGGAACACCAGUGGCGAAGGCGACUUUCUGGUCUGUAACUGACGCUGAUGUGCGAAAGCGUGGGGAUCAAACAGGAUUAGAUACCCUGGUAGUCCACGCCGUAAACGAUGAGUGCUAAGUGUUAGGGGGUUUCCGCCCCUUAGUGCUGCAGCUAACGCAUUAAGCACUCCGCCUGGGGAGUACGACCGCAAGGUUGAAACUCAAAGGAAUUGACGGGGACCCGCACAAGCGGUGGAGCAUGUGGUUUAAUUCGAAGCAACGCGAAGAACCUUACCAAAUCUUGACAUCCUUUGACAACUCUAGAGAUAGAGCCUUCCCCUUCGGGGGACAAAGUGACAGGUGGUGCAUGGUUGUCGUCAGCUCGUGUCGUGAGAUGUUGGGUUAAGUCCCGCAACGAGCGCAACCCUUAAGCUUAGUUGCCAUCAUUAAGUUGGGCACUCUAAGUUGACUGCCGGUGACAAACCGGAGGAAGGUGGGGAUGACGUCAAAUCAUCAUGCCCCUUAUGAUUUGGGCUACACACGUGCUACAAUGGACAAUACAAAGGGCAGCGAAACCGCGAGGUCAAGCAAAUCCCAUAAAGUUGUUCUCAGUUCGGAUUGUAGUCUGCAACUCGACUACAUGAAGCUGGAAUCGCUA
Molecule: ribosomal RNA, 1303 nt
Filed under: Staphylococcus aureus
Lineage: Bacteria; Bacillati; Bacillota; Bacilli; Caryophanales; Staphylococcaceae
Description: bacterial SSU rRNA
Rfam family: Bacterial small subunit ribosomal RNA
Source: RNAcentral